CCUCUCCAGCGUCACCUACACCUACAGCUUUGUCUCCUACAGGCGGCCCGUCAACUGCCCAAGAGAAAGACACAGGUGAGAAGACCACUGAAGCCCCGAGUCGGUCUGAAAAGAAAUUAUUAAUCGGGUUAGUUAUUGCUUAUUUCACCGUCCUAGUACUCAUCGCGGUCACCUUCCACUGGAUAUCCCGCCGGGAGAAAAUGAAAGCAGCAAAAGGAACUGAGUUCGAGAUGGACGCGUCAGUGCUGUGUGGAUCAGCGGCAACAAGGUUGGGGAACAUCAGUGAACCGGAAGUUGGCAUAACUCACCAGGCAUUUGCUGAAGACUCUGAGAAUCCAGCGAAUGCAACAGUCCCUGAAUCACAGGAAGUUACUGUUCAGGUUUCGGAAGAUACAAAGUUUUAAAUGUUGGACAAUUUAUUAGUAAACUUUCAAGCCGCAUUCCUUUAAAAAUUCUUGUAGAUUUAAACUAACAGUCUCGUAACAUCAUUUUUUCAUUCUUGGUAACAGUUGGAUGGCGAGCCAUGAUUUGCAAGAGUAGCUAAGUUCCUCAAAGAAGUAGUAUGUAGCAGAAGCUGACGCUAACUAAUUUUUUUCACCGCCAUUGAAAUAGAAUCCCUGAAGUUAUUACAUUGGACGCUAUUCAUUAGUUCAAAGAAUAGCCCAGGUCUUCGAGAAUUCUCUUUGAAUGUGAUUUAUAAAAUACGUAUAUAUUUGAAUCUUGCUUUACCAAUCACCCGAAACGAAGAAAAGCCUCGCUCCACUUUAGUACAACUUUCAGUGUUCUUCGUAAAAAUUUGAAGUUACGCGAAAAGGCAUAUAUGAUUCCAACUACAAUUUAUAAUAGCAGAAGCUGCAUUUCCACUACACGCUGUCGUUGCACGUGUUAUCAUCGACCCAAAUCUUGUCUGCAUACUCGAGCAUGCGCACAACAGGUUUUUCUUUUCUUUUUUUUUCUCUGCUAUCAUAACCUCCAACCAAAAUUUCUAAAGUCAGCAAGUUCAUUCUACAUAAGAGGACGCAUGGCCGGUGUUUUCAAAAUUAUUUUCGGUGGACAAUUAGACUACAUUAGCUUGGACCGUAGAAAUACAGUUGGGUUUUUUGAAAUCUUGAUCCUCGUGGUGUGGAAGGGUGCCGUUGAUUGUUAAUGCUCUCCAAAACAAACAAACUUGUACAAGUGGGAUGAAGGUAGAGAGAAGUUUAGUUAAGACCACGAAUGGAAAAAUAAAUUAGAAUGGUCGCAACCUUCUGUCCAAGUAACUAUUGGUUUCACAAUUUAAUUUUAUCAGAAGGCUGAAGUGAGGAUUUGUUAACUUAACACGCGUAAAUUCUAUUGCA
Long non-coding RNA from Pocillopora damicornis (cauliflower coral), 1337 nucleotides. NCBI's taxonomy places the organism in Eukaryota, Metazoa, Cnidaria, Anthozoa, Scleractinia, Pocilloporidae. The record is from RefSeq and is a predicted model, not a curated record.